UCUACUAUGGCAGAUUUAUUGCACUUGAUUUAGGAUCAAGAAACGUUAUUUUUAACUAGUUGAU
Molecule: transfer RNA, 64 nt
Filed under: Naesiotus nux
Lineage: Eukaryota; Metazoa; Mollusca; Gastropoda; Stylommatophora; Orthalicidae
Description: tRNA-Leu
Source: RNAcentral